Molecule: ribosomal RNA, 483 nt
Filed under: uncultured bacterium
Lineage: Bacteria
Description: partial 16S ribosomal RNA
Rfam family: Bacterial small subunit ribosomal RNA
Source: RNAcentral
AUUGAACGCUGGCGGUAUGCCUAACACAUGCAAGUCGAACGAUGAAGCUGGAGCUUGCUCCGGUGGAUUAGUGGCGAACGGGUGAGUAACACGUGAGCAAUCUGCCCUUGACUCUGGGAUAACUGCGGGAAACUGUAGCUAAUACCGGAUACGAGGCUCGAAGGCAUCUUCGGGUCUGGAAAGAAUUUCGGUCAAGGAUGAGCUCGCGGCCUAUCAGCUUGUUGGUGAUGUAAUGGCUCACCAAGGCGACGACGGGUAGCCGGCCUGAGAGGGUAACCGGCCACGCUGGGAAUGAGACACGGCCCAGACUCCGACGGGAGGCAGAAGUGGGGAAUAUUGCACAAUGGGCGAAAGCCUGAUGCAGCAACGCCGCGUGAGGGAUGAAGGCCUUCGGGUUGUAAACCUCUUUUAGCAGGGAAGAAGCGAAAGUGACGGUACCUGCAGAAAAAGCACCGGCUAACUACGUGCCAGCCGCCGCGGUAA